UCAUUAGAGNAAAGUAAAAGUCGUAACAGGGUUUCCGUAGGUGAACCUGCGGAGGGAUCAUUA
This 63-nucleotide ribosomal RNA is filed under the name Inocybe cf. favrei MJ3722. RNAcentral's name for it is "partial 18S ribosomal RNA". It matches the Rfam family "Eukaryotic small subunit ribosomal RNA", at positions 1769 to 1831 of the family's 1831-position model. Lineage: Eukaryota; Fungi; Basidiomycota; Agaricomycetes; Agaricales; Inocybaceae. The record is from RNAcentral.